ACUGGCGGCGGCCUACCAUGCAAGUCGAGCGGUAACAGGGGUAGCUUGCUACCCGCUGACGAGCGGCGGACGGGUGAGUAAUGCAUAGGAAUCUGCCCGAUAGUGGGGGAUAACCUGGGGAAACCCAGGCUAAUACCGCAUACGUCCUACGGGAGAAAGGGGGCUCCGGCUCCCGCUAUUGGAUGAGCCUAUGUCGGAUUAGCUAGUUGGUGAGGUAAAGGCUCACCAAGGCGACGAUCCGUAGCUGGUCUGAGAGGAUGAUCAGCCACAUCGGGACUGAGACACGGCCCGAACUCCUACGGGAGGCAGCAGUGGGGAAUAUUGGACAAUGGGCGAAAGCCUGAUCCAGCCAUGCCGCGUGUGUGAAGAAGGCCCUCGGGUUGUAAAGCACUUUCAGCAAGGAAGAACGCCUAGUGGUUAAUACCCUUUAGGAAAGACUUCACUCGGAGAAAAAACGCCGGCUAACUCCGUGCCAGCAGCCGCGGUAAUACCGAGGGUGCAAGCGUUAGUCGGAAUUACUGGGCGUACAGCGCGCGUAGGUGGCUUGAUAAGCCGGUUGUGAAAGCCCCGGGCUCAACCUGGGAACGGCAUCCGGAACUGUCAAGCUAGAGUGCAGGAGAGGAAGGUAGAAUUCCCGGUGUAGCGGUGAAAUGCGUAGAGAUCGGGAGGAAUACCAGUGGCGAAGGCGGCCUUCUGGACUGACACUGACACUGAGGUGCGAAAGCGUGGGUAGCAAACAGGAUUAGAUACCCUGGUAGUCCACGCCGUAAACGAUGUCGACCAGCCGGUGGGUGCCUAGCGCAGUUUUUGGCCAAGUUAACCCGAUAAGUCGACCGCCUGGGGAAUACGGCCGCAACCUUAAAACUCAAAUGAAUUGACGGGGGCCCGCACAAGCGGUGGAGCAUGUGGUUUAAUUCGAUGCAACGCGAAGAACCUUACCUACUCUUGACAUCCUGCGAACUUGUGAGAGAUCACUUGGUGCCUUCGGGAACGCAGAGACAGGUGCUGCAUGGCUGUCGUCAGCUCGUGUUGUGAAAUGUUGGGUUAAGUCCCGUAACGAGCGCAACCCUUGUCCUUAUUUGCCAGCGCGUAAUGGCGGGAACUCUAAGGAGACUGCCGGUGACAAACCGGAGGAAGGUGGGGACGACGUCAAGUCAUCAUGGCCCUUACGAGUAGGGCUACACACGUGCUACAAUGGCCGGUACAAAGGGUUGCGAGCUCGCGAGAGUCAGCUAAUCCCGAAAAGCCGGUCUCAGUCCGGAUCGGAGUCUGCAACUCGACUCCGUGAAGUCGGAAUCGCUAGUAAUCGUGAAUCAGAAUGUCACGGUGAAUACGUUCCCGGGCCUUGUACACACCGCCCGUCACACCAUGGGAGUGGACUGCACCAGAAGUGGUUAGCUUAUCCUUCGGGAAAGCGAUCACCACGGUGUGGUUCAUGACUGGGGUGAAGUCGAACAAGGAG
Molecule: ribosomal RNA, 1462 nt
Filed under: Vreelandella venusta
Lineage: Bacteria; Pseudomonadati; Pseudomonadota; Gammaproteobacteria; Oceanospirillales; Halomonadaceae
Description: bacterial SSU rRNA
Rfam family: Bacterial small subunit ribosomal RNA
Source: RNAcentral